RNAcentral lists this transfer RNA (83 nucleotides) under Ectyoplasia ferox (brown encrusting octopus sponge). RNAcentral's name for it is "tRNA-Ser". It matches the Rfam family "tRNA". From Rfam's summary of the family: Transfer RNA (tRNA) molecules are approximately 80 nucleotides in length. Their secondary structure includes four short double-helical elements and three loops (D, anti-codon, and T loops). Lineage: Eukaryota; Metazoa; Porifera; Demospongiae; Axinellida; Raspailiidae. The record is from RNAcentral.
GGAAAAGUGGCAGAGUGGUUAUUGCAUUUGUUUUGAAAACAAUGAUUAAUAGUAAUUCGUAGGUUCAAAUCCUAUCUUUUCUU